UGGAGAUCGGGGCUGGGGGGCGGUGUUUGUGUUGGAAAAUCCAACUGCGCCACGGGGCGGAGCGGCCCCCCCAGCCCCGUCCUGGGAGAGGGGGGGGCCGCUCGACCCCCUGGACGACCUUGGGGAGCCUGAACACCUGGGACACCCCAGAAGCAGGUUCCCCCAGGCACCAUGCCAGCCCCGUAGAACCACCCACCCCACCCACUGUGGUCUGCUCCACCCCGUUGCUGGGGCACUGGUUCCAAUGAGACAGGGCAUGCCAAACUCCAUCUGGCUGUUACUGAGGCGGAGACACGGGUGAUGAUUGGCUUUCUGGGGACGAGAGCAAGUCCUGUGAAUUGGCCGGGUCUCCCGGAGCCUCACCGACGCCGGGACGACGGG
Vicugna pacos (alpaca) is the source of this 381-nucleotide non-coding RNA. The record is from RefSeq and is a predicted model, not a curated record. NCBI's taxonomy places the organism in Eukaryota, Metazoa, Chordata, Mammalia, Artiodactyla, Camelidae.